RNAcentral lists this ribosomal RNA (358 nucleotides) under uncultured microorganism. RNAcentral describes it as "bacterial SSU rRNA". It matches the Rfam family "Bacterial small subunit ribosomal RNA", at positions 9 to 361 of the family's 1533-position model. The record is from RNAcentral.
GAGUUUGAUCAUGGCUCAGAUUGAACGCUGGCGGCAUGCCUAACACAUGCAAGUCGAACGGCAGCACUGGGAGCUUGCUCCCUGGUGGCGAGUGGCGGACGGGUGAGUAACGCGUAGGAAUCUGCCUCAUAGCGGGGGACAACUCGGGGAAACUCGAGCUAAUACCGCAUACUACUCGAGAGAGGAAAGCAGGGGACCUUCGGGCCUUGCACUAUGAGAUGAGCCUGCGUUGGAUUAGCUAGUUGGUAGGGUAAAGGGACCUACCAAGGCGACGAUCCAUAACUGGUUUGUAGAGGAUGACCAGUCACACUGGGACUGAGACACGGCCCAGACUCCUACGGGAGGCGGCAGUGGGGAA